RNAcentral lists this ribosomal RNA (427 nucleotides) under unidentified proteobacterium HT-1F. RNAcentral's name for it is "partial 16S ribosomal RNA". It matches the Rfam family "Bacterial small subunit ribosomal RNA", at positions 1 to 431 of the family's 1533-position model. Lineage: Bacteria; Pseudomonadati; Pseudomonadota. The record is from RNAcentral.
UGAGUUUGAUUCUGGCUCAGAGUGAACGCUGGCGGCGUGCUUAACACAUGCAAGUCGAACGAGAAACGGUCUAGCUUGCUAGAUGCAGUCUAAGUGGCGCACGGGUGAGUAAUAUAUAGGUAAUAUGCCUCUUACUAAGGGAUAACAGAUGGAAACGUCUGCUAAUACCUUAUAUGCCUUUAGGACUAAAGUYCGCAAGGGAAAGAUUUAUYKGUAAGAGAUUAGCCUGUACAGUAUCAGUUAGUUGGUGAGGUAAUKGCUCACCAAGACUAUGACACUUAACUKGKUUKAGAGGAUGAUYAGUCACACUGGAACUGAGACACGGUYCAGACUYCUACGGGAGGCAGCAGUKGGGAAUAUUGCACAAUKGACGGAAGUCUKAUKCAGCAACGCYGCGUUGAGGAUGACACAUUUYBGUKUGUAAACY